RNAcentral lists this long non-coding RNA (599 nucleotides) under Apteryx rowi (Okarito brown kiwi). Its description in RNAcentral is "lncRNA (ENSARWG00000015454.1)". The record is from RNAcentral. Lineage: Eukaryota; Metazoa; Chordata; Aves; Apterygiformes; Apterygidae.
UAAAAUUUCCCUUUUCUUCCUCAGGAAAAAAAAACUGGAAUGCAGAAGGUUGACAAUAACUUGAAGUUUGUUAAAUGACGUGAAGCAAGUAAAGUUGGCUGAAAUUUUAACUGUGAGCUGAUCAGUAUUAUAUUGUUUCAUCUACUUUGUUGAACUUCUUCGGAGGAGUUAAAAGAGAUCAAUGUAUGAUAAGCUCAAACAUUUGGUGUUUUUUCUCACAAGUCUUCAUGGCAAGAGAUGACACAGCAUGACAUCACGUGUGGAGACAGGAGGUAUCCAGGAAAAGGAAGGCAAAUCAGACUGGGCAAUCACAAAUACAAAAAUUUUGGAACCCCUGAGUAGAAAAGUGAAGGACUUCUCUCAAUCUGCAUGAGGAAAACUUUAAGAUGAGCUUGAUGGCAGCAUGAUACCAGCAAAUGGAUUACAAAGUCAGUUACAGAGGCAGGUCAGUAAGAAUUUUGCUUAACAGCUAUUAGCUAUUCCUUCCGAAUCACAAAUUUGCAGGCAUUAUCUUCUAUGAGCAUGGAAGAAUUCAAAGAACAAUAAUAAGCAACUGAAGAAAGUGCGGUUUGACUGAUAGCCAGAGACUCCAGCCCUUC